CUGGCAAGGAGUUUCAUACGCUAAUCGGGAAGGGAAGCACAGCGCACCUUUAAAUUAAUAUGGAUAAUAUUUUUUCUAUUACCCUGAUGAUUAUCACCUAAAUUGGCUUAUAAAAUGUUUAAUGAUUUAUCCUGGCAGUGUUUUAGCACUGGAGAACUUUUUCUACCAGGGCCAAGUGAAGGAUGACCUGGCACCAGAGCAGUUGGUAGCAGAGAACGGUGGGUCACAGUGGAGCUGCUGAUGACACCGAUCCCAGACCUCACCCCAGAGCUUGUGUGCAAGCUGAAGAAUUUGACAGCAGGCCUAGAGCUUUAUCAGAAGGUGGCUCACAGCUGGUGCCUGUUCCUGACCCCGCUGUGUGACGUGUCCCCUCGUGGGACCCCAUCAGCUGCCCAUAACCACAGGUCCAAAGGCAGAUGCCACAUCUUCACACCAAGGGUGUUGUUUUUUCCCCAACAUCUGUUAUUCUCCUUCCCAAGUGCCAGUGUCCUGAGGGGAAACCAAGGGGCUGCACGUGACUGCGCUCACGCACUGGAGGAUGGGGAAGAGCAGAAGGGAAGGAGUCAGCAAAUGGUGCUGGAAGAAGCUGAACCCUCAACCCUUGAAGGUGUGUCUGUGAGCUCCCAGAAACAGCAGCCAGUCCAUGCAAGGAGCCCUCUCCUGCAGGGCCAUGCUGACAAGGGUCACUCCCCAAAGGGGAGGGCUGGUCGCUACAUUU
This is a long non-coding RNA of Passer domesticus (house sparrow), 718 nucleotides long. RefSeq lists it as uncharacterized. The record is from RefSeq and is a predicted model, not a curated record. NCBI's taxonomy places the organism in Eukaryota, Metazoa, Chordata, Aves, Passeriformes, Passeridae. The transcript has 3 exons.